This 1174-nucleotide long non-coding RNA is filed under the name Linum usitatissimum (flax). RNAcentral's name for it is "long non-coding RNA (LUSI_LNC004012)". Lineage: Eukaryota; Viridiplantae; Streptophyta; Magnoliopsida; Malpighiales; Linaceae. The record is from RNAcentral.
CAGGAUAUACUAAGUGAGCUGAUUCGGGCAGAAACCAGGUUUCACACUCAGGCAAUCCUCAACGGGCAAGGGAGUUCAACCUCUGCUUUUACUGUUGGUCGGGCGACUAGUCGUGGAAUCGGCACCCGUCCCCAGUUCUACACGAAAUCGGCUACCCAACCAGCUGCCUCAAUUGGUUCUUCUCAACAUAUUAAUCCCAAAUCAACAACUACUUCUCUUGGUCCAAUUAAGUGAUCGUUUUGUCAAGAGUUUGGUCAUCCACAGUCUAUUUGCCAGAAACGUAACAUUUGCAACUACUGUAAGCGUACCGGUCACAUUAUCUCUGACUGUCGUGCUCCUGGUCAUCGCAGAAACUUUUCUCCUAGUUCUUGUGCUACUAGUUAUACUGCUCAAGAUUCUGCUUCAGUGAACAGCUCAGCUUCUUCCCUUAAUAAUGCCUAACUGGUUCAAGAAGAACUCACACGCGUUCUCCCUCAAGCAAUUACCUGGGCCUUCUCGACUAUAGGUCUUUCAGGUACAAGUUCUGCUCAACCUUGGUUUCUUAAUUCUUCGGCAUUCAAUCAUAUGACAAGUGAUGCCAAUUUGUUCCAAAGUUAUAAUUCUAUUACAAAUCGCUCUAUUGAGGUUGCUAGUGGUCAAAAGUUACCUGUUGUUGGCAUUGGGACUGUUGAAACAUCUACUCUCGCUUUGCCUGCUACUCUUCAUGUGCCCACACUUAUUCCGAAUUUAGUUUCUGUUGGUCAAUUAGUUGCAUUUGGCUUCAAUGUUGUUUUUGGUGCCUUUGGUUUUGUGGUUCAAGAUCCACAAACAAGGAAGGUACAGGGACAAGGGAGUAGACAUGGCCAAAUUUUUUACUUGGAAGCUUUGGAUAUGGGUCAUCAAUCUCGGUCAACCGGCGAUACAGAGUAUUCCACGAGAUCCGGAAGUUUUGAUAUUUCUUCUUCUUCUAGUUAUGCAGUUAAACUUAAUUCGGAACAGUUGUGGUACCUUCGGCAUAGUAGAUUGGGACAUCCUCAUUCAUGUCGAUUGUUAAGUAUGUUUCGCAAGAACUUAUUACUAGUUGAGAAUAAUAUGAGACAUUUUUCUAUUCCUCCAUGUGAGUCAUGUAUUCAGGCUAGAACGGUUGCCCUACCAUUCCAUUCUAGUACUACCGAGAUUUCAGACUCCUUCUCCG